Molecule: ribosomal RNA, 496 nt
Filed under: uncultured bacterium
Lineage: Bacteria
Description: partial 16S ribosomal RNA
Rfam family: Bacterial small subunit ribosomal RNA
Source: RNAcentral
GAUGAACGCUGGCGGCGUGCCUAAUACAUGCAAGUCGAGCGAACAGAUAAGGAGCUUGCUCCUUUGAAGUUAGCGGUGGACGGGUGAGUAACACGUGGGUAACCUACCUAUAAGACUGGGAUAACUUCGGGAAACCGGAGCUAAUACCGGAUAACAUUUAGAACCGCAUGGUUCUAAAGUGAAAGAUGGUUUUGCUAUCACUUAUAGAUGGACCCGCGCCGUAUUAGCUAGUUGGUAAGGUAACGGCUUACCAAGGCGACGAUACGUAGCCGACCUGAGAGGGUGAUCGGCCACACUGGAACUGAGACACGGUCCAGACUCCUACGGGAGGCAGCAGUAGGGAAUCUUCCGCAAUGGGCGAAAGCCUGACGGAGCAACGCCGCGUGAGUGAUGAAGGGUUUCGGCUCGUAAAACUCUGUUAUUAGGGAAGAACAAAUGUGUAAGUAACUGUGCACAUCUUGACGGUACCUAAUCAGAAAGCCACGGCUAACUACGU